Salvia splendens (bonfire salvia) is the source of this 4188-nucleotide long non-coding RNA. RefSeq lists it as uncharacterized. The transcript has 19 exons. The record is from RefSeq and is a predicted model, not a curated record. Lineage: Eukaryota; Viridiplantae; Streptophyta; Magnoliopsida; Lamiales; Lamiaceae.
CCUUUCAUGUCUAAAAAAAGCCAAGGCUAGAAAAAAAAUAAAAAAAUAAAAAGGCAGCCUUUCUUGAGUAAAAAAAAGCCAAGGCUCGAAAAAAAAUAUUGAGCGAAAAAUAGAAAUGAUUCAAAAGAAUAAGUUGACAGAUGGUCGAAAAAUCUCAUGUUUGGGGUGUUGAGCUAUAAGAAAUCUGUAUGCAGUGAGUGAGAUGUGAAAGGUUUUGUGAUGGAUGUGCUAGUAUUUUAAGAAUGGUGGUAAGCUACUUAACCAAAUAUUAUCCCACCUCUACCAAAAGCCCCAUUACAUCCCAAUGAAUAAGACCUUUUGAUAUGUGCAUCAUAUUGACUUGGGAGUGAUGAAUUUUGCUUGAUUUUGGGAGAAAGAUCUUAUGUGCUUAAAAUAAAGAAUAGCUAGAAGAACUUCUCUUUAUGAAUUAGUGACGAUGGUUUGAGACUCCCAAGACACAACUCGAACUUAGAUUGAAGCAUGGGAUGCCUAGUUCUUAGGGAAUUAGUUCGUGUACAAUUCUUGUUCUUAAGUUUUACCCGCGAGUGAAUUCGGGGUCGGCCUAAUUUCCCUACCGAUUCAUAUGGUUUGGCGUGACUUGAAGCAGAGGAUUAUCUAAUAUCUUUAUACAAUGGAAUGGAGGGUAGCGUAUUACUGCUCCUAGCCAAUUUUGGCCACUUCGAUAUUAAGUGUCUCUCAGUUCAUACUAAAGCCGUCAAUGAAGAACUACUGCAAAAUCUUUCUGAUGCUCUACGCUUGUCGGUACCUGAUAAAAUUGGAGUUGAUCUUGCUUUGUCUAAAACUGACGAUCACGAUAUUAGGAUGUGUGGAAAGAAUUUUUCUUUGAGUCAGAUUAAAGAGCUGUGUUCCAAUCUAUUGCAUUUGAGGCGACUGAGAUGAUUCAAAAUAUGCUCGUGUUACACUUAGUUGAUCUAACGGCCUCUCUAAGCAUUCUGAUUCAUUCUUGCAAAUGUUAGCUCUUGUGCAACUAAGGUGCUUUCCGUGAUAGUUCCUCGUGCAAAAAUAGACUAGAAUUUCUUAGUCAAUCUGAAGGCCAAGGCCCAACUACGUGGAGAUCGCUUCUUCAGCGUUGUUUAAAACGCGCCGCGCAGGUGGAAGAGCAAGAUCUGGGGACGGCGGCCCGGUGGGGGCAAGGCGUAUGGCGGUAGGGGGAGACUUAGUUCUUAACUUAUAAGAAGCCGGGGGAAAUGGCUCUUUCCCAAGUACUUCCUAGAUAUGUUUCUUUUUUACAUUGGCAUUCGGUUUGCUGUACCUGCAUUAAAAAAGAAAUCGUGGGCCUUGGAAGCUGGAUGAACACUCAAUUAGUGUCUAGUAAAGAUGCUUUGUAUGAGGUUGUGUGUAAGGCUGCGUAGCACGUAGAACUCAGUCCCGUGUUGAGAGCGCUACUUCAGUGUUGAUAAGUUCUAGAAAUGUCCCCUGUUCUUCUUCAGUGAGGUUCUCGCUUCCUGUAUAGGGGUGUGAUCCUGGCACCACCCCUUGCUUUCUACCCAAACAAGAAUCACUAACAGAGUUGACACCGAUGAAUGGAAUCCAUCCACUGAUACGCAUCUUCCUUGAUUGAUAACCGCUCUGCAAAUGUUGUGAUGCACUCGAAAUUUUAAAUAUCAUUUCCAGCUUUUUUGUUUGUCUACGACAGUUAGAUCAUCUAUCGAGGGACCGAAUUUGCUUUAGAUUGCAAACUUGAGUUUGCUCAUACUGCUCAUCGAAAUUCUGCUGCUGUUCAUUCCUGGUUGAGUGUAAGGCUGCGUAGCAAGUAGAAGUCAGUCUCGUGUUGAGAGCGCUACUUCAGUGUUGAUAAGUUCUAGAGAUGUCCCCUGAUCUUCAACAGUGAGGUGUUAUAGCUGUAACCAUUACUCGUAGGAUUUUUAUGCUAGAGCACUUUGAGCACAAAAUUUUGCAGGAACUAGCCCGGAGUUGCCCUGGUUCUCACUUCCGGUAUAGGGGUGUGAUCCUUACACCACCUCUUAAUUGCUUUCUACUCAAACAAUCCAAACCAGUGAUGGGGAAUAGAUCAACAACUUUCUAUUAGGAGAUAGCAUAGAGACAGUGUUGUGCCACUUUUUUUAUGCUAGCAUUUAUGUGCAAGGUCAAGUGAGCCUUUUGUCCUAAGCUAGGCCACCUGUCACAUUCACAAAAUGAGUUUAUGAGGUGAUUCCGGACAAAUUCUAGGACAUCUAAGUUGAUUCAGGAAAGAAUCGAUCCAUCCAGAGCUCAAAUGCAUUUCCAGUUUGCCCUCUGCUUCGUCAGUGGGUGGAUUUUCCUGGAAAUUUGCAUCUCUACUUCUGACCAAGUGAGUGUUAGCACUGGAAUUGGUGCUAUUCCCCACACACCUGAAAUUGGCUCUGACGAGAUGGAUCCUGUUGGAUCCCAGAUUCGUACAAGCUACUGAUGGACACUAAUGCAAAUCUGUCUUCCGAGCAUCCCGGGACAAAUGUCUCUGCGCCAUUUAUAACCUUUGGUGAUGCAUUGCACAUGUACCAUACUAUCUCAGAGAAGAUAUAUAUACUAUGCGCCUUAACUCUUAAAUAUCAAUUCCUUAUAUCUCGUGCCCAAAAAAUUGCCUCGCUCAUGGUUGGACGGAGUGAGUACAAAAUAACAAACUAUAGCUAUAUAUUUAUUUUACUAUUAUCUUAGUUGGUAAUUGGUAUCCUCCAAUAUGUUGAUGUCAACUUAUUAUGUUGUUUUCCUUUUUUAAGACAUGGUGGAUUAAGCAUAAAACUUUUACUGACUUUUCCAACUCUUAAUUUGAUCAUGCGUUUUACCUAGACUUCAAUUGUAGAAUCCACAUCCAACAAGGUAUGAAUGUUAUUUAUUGAGCUAAUUACAUGUGUAAAGCUACAUUGCUUUGCAUCAUGGACAUUAGAUUGCUAUGUAGGUAAAUUACUGCUUCUAUACUGUUUGCAAAGAACCGAGCUUAAGCAGAUUGUUCUUGAGUUACUCAAAAUAUGCACUGAUUCUCAGGAUAAUAUUUCCGAUGAUGACUAUAUAAUUUCAAAAGCUGGGCUCGGUCUAGAAGUGGGAAUGAUGUCAAUCCUACAUGAUAAUGAAGCACAAGUCUGAAUAGCAGCUGCCGAAAAGGAGUUAAGGAGGAGCUAACUUCUAAAGGAGGCAAGAUGAGGGAAGAAAUACCUAACCCCCAUCACCUAACUUCCCAUGCAAACAAGGGAGUAUUUUGUUUCCCCUCACAUUUUUUUCCUUCACAUAAAGGGCAAUGUUAAGAUUAAGAUUUGGGGUGAGGGUGUUUGUGUGCAUGCUUGAUUAUGUGGUUGUAAAUAAUUUUAUUACUCUAUCUCCGAUUCUGAAGGACCCUUUUUCUAUAACGAUGCGAAUACUAAAGAAGUUAUGUGUUUUAAAUAGCAGGACUAUGCCAUGGAGCCCGAUGAGAAACUUAUGCGAAAUGCAGCACAUUAGAUGGUAGCAAGGAACCUUUACGUGGUUCAGUAUCAAGCCAACUCAGAAGGUCACUUCAGGGCUUGGCCAUAGCAAAGGAUCUUCUGGAGCAGUCAUUUUAGCGGGUGACUAAUGGAAUCACAGGCAGCGAUGAUACCGAUGAAUGGAAUCCAUCCACUGAUACACAUCUUCCUCGAUCGAUAGCCGCUCUGGAAAUGUUGAGUGCAAGGCUGCGUUGCAAGCAGAACUCGGUCUGUUGUUGAGAGCGCUAUUUCAGUAUUGAUCAUGUUCCAGAGAUGUCCCCUGAUCUUCAACAAUGAGUUGUUAUAGUUGUAACCACUAAACGUUCUCGCUUCUGUUAUAGGGGUGUGAUCCUGGCGCCAUCCCUUACUUGCUUUCUUACUCAAACAAUCCAAACCAUUUAUGGGGAAAUAGAUCGAUUACUUUCUAUUAGAAGAAAGCAUAGAGACAGUGUUGUGCCACUUUUUUUAAUGCUAGCCUUUAUGCUCGAGGUCAAACGGAAGCCCUUUAUCCUAAGCCAAGGCACAUGUCACAUUCACAACAACGAGUUUAUGAGAAUCGAUCCACCCAGAGCUUCAAAUGCAUUUCCAGUUCGCCCCUCGGCUUCAUCAGGAGCUGGAUUAUCCAGGCAAUUUGCAUCUCCACUUCUGACCAAAUGAGUGCUAGCAUUUACUCAUCUGGCCUUGUUAGCACUUGAAUUGGUGCUAUGCCCCAUACACCGGAAAUUGGCUCUGACGAGAUAGAACCUGUUGGAUC